This 381-nucleotide ribosomal RNA is filed under the name Candovia robinsoni. Its description in RNAcentral is "partial small subunit ribosomal RNA". The record is from RNAcentral. Lineage: Eukaryota; Metazoa; Arthropoda; Insecta; Phasmatodea; Lonchodidae.
GUUAUACAAUAAAUAUAAAUUAAUAUUUUUGGUUUUAAAAGUUAAAUUUAUUUCUAAAUUUUAUGAAUUUAAUGUAUUUAUUUUUAGGUGAAAUUUAAAUUUUUAUUAAAUUUUUUAGUGAUUCUAUUGAAGUGUAUAAUAUAAACUAGGAUUAGAUACCCUAUUAUAAUAUAUUUAAAUUAUAGCCAGGGUAGUAUUAGUUAUUUUCUUUAAACCUAAAGAAUUUGGCGGUGUUUUAUUCUAUUCAGAGGAAUUUGCCCCUUAAUCGAUAGUCCACGUUUUAUCUUACUUGAAUUUGUAAAGUUUCAGUAUGUAUACCGCCGUUAUAAGUUUAUUUUAUUAGAAGGAGAAUUUACUUGAUUCUUGUUUUUGAGUUAUUUC